CAGAGGGGGCAAGCGUUAUUCGGAAUUAUUGGGCGUAAAGGGCGCGUAGGCGGCUUGGCAAGUGGAAGGUGAAAUCCCUCGGCUUAACCGAGGAACUGCCCUCCAAACUGCUUUGCUUGAGGCCGGGAGAGGCGAGUGGAAUUCCCAGUGUAGCGGUGAAAUGCGUAGAUAUUGGGAGGAACACCAGUGGCGAAGGCGGCUCGCUGGACCGGUUCUGACGCUGAGGCGCGAAAGCGUGGGGAGCAAACGGGAUUAGAUACCCCGGUAGUCCACGCUGUAAACGAUGAGUGCUUGGUGUAGCGGGUAUCGACCCCUGCUGUGCCGAAGUCAACACAUUAAGCACUCCGCCUGGGGAGUACGGUCGCAAGGCUG
This 372-nucleotide ribosomal RNA is filed under the name uncultured organism. Its description in RNAcentral is "bacterial SSU rRNA". It matches the Rfam family "Bacterial small subunit ribosomal RNA", at positions 526 to 896 of the family's 1533-position model. The record is from RNAcentral.